Molecule: ribosomal RNA, 253 nt
Filed under: uncultured bacterium
Lineage: Bacteria
Description: partial 16S ribosomal RNA
Rfam family: Bacterial small subunit ribosomal RNA
Source: RNAcentral
UACGGAGGGGGCUAGCGUUGUUCGGAAUUACUGGGCGUAAAGCGCACGUAGGCGGACUUGUAAGUCAGGGGUGAAAUCCCGAGGCUCAACUUCGGAACUGCCUUUGAUACUGCAAGUCUCGAGUCCGGAAGAGGUGAGUGGAAUUCCUAGUGUAGAGGUGAAAUUCGUAGAUAUUCGCAAGAACACCAGUGGCGAAGGCGGCUCACUGGCCCGGUACUGACGCUGAGGUGCGAAAGCGUGGGGAGCAAACAGG